This is a non-coding RNA of Triticum aestivum (bread wheat), 125 nucleotides long. The record is from Rfam. NCBI's taxonomy places the organism in Eukaryota, Viridiplantae, Streptophyta, Magnoliopsida, Poales, Poaceae.
GACGUACUCCCUCCGUCCGAAAAUACUUAUCGGGGAAAUGUAUGUAUCUAGACAUAUUUUAAUUCUAGAUAUAUCCAAUUUUAUCCAUUUGUACGACAAGUAUUUUCGGACGGAGGAAGUACGAC